CCCGCCACUAUGCCCGUCUGCAGUGACAGAGUAUAAUCCAGUGGAGGCUCAGAGAAACCCGGCUUUAGGAAACAGGGUGGUCCACAACAAUGGUCAACUCUGUGCCGUAAAGUUUGGAACAACU
RNAcentral lists this small nucleolar RNA (124 nucleotides) under Neogobius melanostomus (round goby). RNAcentral's name for it is "Small nucleolar RNA SNORA65 (ENSNMLG00000024808.1)". It matches the Rfam family "Small nucleolar RNA SNORA65". Rfam says of the family: U65 belongs to the H/ACA class of snoRNAs which are thought to guide the sites of modification of uridines to pseudouridines. Lineage: Eukaryota; Metazoa; Chordata; Actinopteri; Gobiiformes; Gobiidae. The record is from Rfam by way of RNAcentral.